This 214-nucleotide long non-coding RNA is filed under the name Elaeis guineensis (African oil palm). RNAcentral describes it as "long non-coding RNA (EGUI_LNC002260)". Lineage: Eukaryota; Viridiplantae; Streptophyta; Magnoliopsida; Arecales; Arecaceae. The record is from RNAcentral.
AGAAUUGAGAAGAAAGAAUUCUUCUCUUGAUCUCUAUCGUAUAGAUUUGAUGCAUGGAUGCAGAAAGAAAAGAGAGAAUCUUCUUGUUCUUCAUCUUCUUCAUGUUCUUCAUCUUCUUCAUGUUCCUCUUAGAUCAAUCAAAGCAUGGUGACUUCACGAGCUAACACUCUUGGAGAGAUCAAUCAGCACAAGAGCUUCGUGUGGAUAUCUGUAG